This 397-nucleotide ribosomal RNA is filed under the name uncultured bacterium. RNAcentral's name for it is "partial 16S ribosomal RNA". It matches the Rfam family "Bacterial small subunit ribosomal RNA", at positions 523 to 918 of the family's 1533-position model. The record is from RNAcentral.
AUACGUAGGGCGCGAGCGUUGUCCGGAAUUAUUGGGCGUAAAGGGCUCGUAGGCGGCUUAUUGCGCCUGCUGUGAAAACGCGGGGCUCAACUCCGCGCGUGCAGUGGGUACGGGUAGGCUAGAGUGCAGUAGGGGUGACUGGAAUUCCCGGUGUAGCGGUGGAAUGCGCAGAUAUCGGGAGGAACACCAAUGGCGAAGGCAGGUCACUGGGCUGUUACUGACGCUGAGGAGCGAAAGCAUGGGGAGCGAACAGGAUUAGAUACCCUGGUAGUCCAUGCCGUAAACGUUGGAUGCUAGGUGUGGGGGCCCUCUGAGGCUUCUGCGCCGUAGCUAACGCAUUAAGCAUCCCGCCUGGGGAGUACGGUCGCAAGAUUAAAACUCAAAUGAAUUGACGGGG